GACGAACGCUGGCGGCGUGCCUAAUACAUGCAAGUCGAGCGAACGGACGAGAAGCUUGCUUCUCUGAUGUUAGCGGCGGACGUGUGAGGAACAUGAGGAGAACCUACCUAUAAGACUGGUAUAACUUCGGGAAACCGGUGCUGAUACGGGAUAAUAUUUUGAUCCGCAGGGUUCAAAAGUUAAGGACGGUCUUGCUGUCACUUAUACAUGUAUCCGCGCUGCAUUAGCUAGUUGGUACGGUAACGGCUUCCCAUGGCAACGAUGCAUAGCCGACCGGAGAGGGUGUACGGCCACACUGGAGCUGAGACACGGCCCAGACACCUACGGGCGGCAGCGAUAGCGACUCUUCGGCGAUGGGCGGAAGCCUGCCGGAGCGACGCCGCGCUAAUGCUGCAGGUCCGCGGGUCGUAAGACUGUCUUAUUGGGGAAGAACAUAUGUGUCAGUGACUGUGCUCGUCUUGACGGUACCUGAUCAGGAAGCAACGGCUAACUACGUG
RNAcentral lists this ribosomal RNA (497 nucleotides) under uncultured bacterium. RNAcentral's name for it is "partial 16S ribosomal RNA". It matches the Rfam family "Bacterial small subunit ribosomal RNA", at positions 28 to 507 of the family's 1533-position model. The record is from RNAcentral.